GACAGAGGAUGCAAACGUUGCUCGGAAUUACUGGGCGUAAAGCGCAUGUAGGCGGUCCGGUAAGUCAGGUGUGAAAUCCCGGGGCCCAACCUCGGAAGGGCACAUGAUACUGCCGGACUUGAGUACUGGAAAGGAGAGUGGAAUUCCCGGUGUAGAGGUGAAAUUCGUAGAUAUCGGGAGGAACACCAGUGGCGAAGGCGACUCUCUGGACAGAUACUGACGCUGAGAUGCGAAAGCGUGGGAAGCAAACAGG
RNAcentral lists this ribosomal RNA (253 nucleotides) under uncultured bacterium. RNAcentral's name for it is "partial 16S ribosomal RNA". It matches the Rfam family "Bacterial small subunit ribosomal RNA", at positions 524 to 776 of the family's 1533-position model. The record is from RNAcentral.